This is a long non-coding RNA of Leopardus geoffroyi (Geoffroy's cat), 837 nucleotides long. RefSeq lists it as uncharacterized. NCBI's taxonomy places the organism in Eukaryota, Metazoa, Chordata, Mammalia, Carnivora, Felidae. The record is from RefSeq and is a predicted model, not a curated record. The transcript has 7 exons.
GUCAACUGGGAACCAGGCAAACAAUACACUACUGGAAGUGAAUUAGCACAUCUGCCUAGAGUCCCUUAGUUAAUGAAAAAGGUCCCAAAUGUGGGGAGCAGGAGCCCAAUCAGUUCUUCUUGAGUCGUUAAAAUACUACUGGCUGAAGUACUGCUGUGAUAAAGUGCUGUGGAGCGGGGUGACUAAGAGAAGGACGAACACACAUCAAAGGAACAAGCAUAACCUGGAUUCUGUAGCUGUAUGAAAUCCCACCUCUCCUGUGAUAUGAUUCAUUAUUAUAAACUGAGGCCAAGAGAAGGAAACAAAUGGACUAUAUAUACAGUGACUGAAUAAAUACCAUGUGCCAGCAGUGACCUAGGACCUUUACACGCAUGAUCCCAUUACGUCCUUGCAAGAAGCCUGUAAGGUGCUGAUUCCAAAAGCAUUCUGUAAUAAACACCCCACAGGCUAGUCUUUGUCUCAGAGACUGCUUUCCAGGGAACUUCAUCAGAAGGAGUCAUCUAAAGUCCCCUUUUGUGUUUGAAGUUUGUCUUCAUAAACCGUUUGGGCUGAGAUAUGAGGAUGAUCACAAGUUUAAAGCUUAAACAGCAAAGGAGAAGCUCAAGGAUAUACCCCUUGAAAUAAAAGCACCUGAUUCAAAGAACCGGUGUAUAUUCCAUGGCCAAUCAGCAUUGCUCAACAUUGAUCUCCUUGGCUUCGUGCAUCAAUUGAGUUAAUUUUGCUUAAACCUUGUUUGCAUCUGUCAUUUGCCUGCUUGGAAACCUCUCACACAUACUUGGGCCUUAUGGCCAAAGCUGAACUCUCUCGACUGGCAGUCAAGCCCUGCCCCCUUCCACC